Long non-coding RNA from Rhinolophus ferrumequinum (greater horseshoe bat), 1397 nucleotides. RefSeq lists it as uncharacterized. NCBI's taxonomy places the organism in Eukaryota, Metazoa, Chordata, Mammalia, Chiroptera, Rhinolophidae. The record is from RefSeq and is a predicted model, not a curated record. The transcript has 6 exons.
GGCGGCCCAGGUUGUUGAGGCUCGCUCCCGACUGUCCCCACUGUCGAGACUCCGGGGUUGGGACGUUAUACUUUUGACAUUUCUGACCUGGAAGCCUCGCCUCCCUCCUAAUAUUAAUUUUCAGAUGCUCAGUCUUCUGACUAUGCCCAUUGCACCACUGAGGUGAAAGUUGCAUCACAUCAGGAAUCCUGGAGAAGAAAAAGGGAAACAUGAGAAAUGACCUGUGUUCCUUGGAGAGACUGUCAUCUACCAGUUCUGAGACCUUUUUCAUUGAAUGCAGGUAAACAAUGGUCCCUGUGUGAAGAAUGACCUAGAAGAGAGUCAAAGUAGGCGCUUAGAUGAUGAAGUCACCACGUGGAUGUCGUGAAGCAUUUCUGAGGAAGAAUUCCCUCAAUUCAUCUGCCAGUUCUGCAUGGAGAGAUGACAGAGAGGAGGUGCUGUGUGAGAAGGAUCAGUGAGAAGCACCUGUGCUUAGAAGAAAAAAAAGGAGAGAGAAAGGAGGCCAACGUUUGCAGACACCAGGUGCUCAGCACUUUCCUCACCAUGUGUGCUCGUUGUGUGCCAGCCAAGGGUGUCAUAGCCGCUAAUCAAACAUGAGUUUCAAGGCAGGUCCCAGGGAAAGUCCCACGAGGACGCAGUCGUCACCCCUGUAGCAGUGGGCAGACGAACUGAAUGAAGCUGUACAUGGAUCUUUGCACUGUGAUCUUUCAGUGUAUUCCUUGACAAACAGGUUUGAAAGGAACGACAACAAUGAUGCAAGGAAGGAGCACAAAGAGACUUCUUGGGGGAACAUGGGAAAUCUUACCUGAAACUUGACUGGACUCUGCAGCAGAGGAAGAGGCCACUCAGAAGAACAAUCACGCGAGACUAGAUCGCUGUGUGCAGCAAGUCCCUGCAGUCCUGUGAUCCAACUGGAGGAAUCUCAUGGUCUGAACUUGUCCAGCUUUAUUUUGAUGUCUAUCAUUAACAAAUCAGCCUUCCAUUCAUUAGAUCAAGGAAACCUGCUUACUCUUUGUAGUUACUGAUUUAAGUAUUUACUCAUUUGUGUUUGUUUCAAACAGACAUAUCAGUGCUUUAUAGAACAUUAGGGUUAAUAAGUAACUUUGGGGCUUUCACAGCACUGACUGAAGAAAAUAUGACAUACUAGAAUUUUUUUUGUGAGGAUGGAGUUGGAGGGAUGAAUGGAAGAGAGGGAACUGAGAGUAGCAGAAAAAGAGAAGUUAUAUUUCUCCAAAAAGACUCUGCCCGUGCCACAUGACACUGUGGGGCAGCUGUGCCUUGGUUGUCCACUGGAUGUUCAGACUGAGGUAAGGUGAGGCAGAAGUUGGUACACUAUGGCCUGAGGGCUGAAUCCAGGCUGCUGUCCAUUUUUGUAAAUAAAGUUUUAUUGGAACAUA